GUCGCGCUCACAGUUGGUCUCAAGAUGGAAAUACAUGUUCUGAACUGAUAAAUCGCUUAUGAUUGUGCAUUGACGAAGUUUAGAAGCAUGAGCAAGGCACUGCUUAGACUUCUUCAAUGGAGCGCCGUUUUCGCGUUUUGCGAAGCCUCUUCGAAGACAAUAAUAAGCAAGAGUGUGCUUUCGAAAGCUUCUCUGCGCCAUUGGGCGUCAAAUUUCACAAUAGAUCUAAACGUAUUUUUGGAUAGCGUACUGACCGCACGCUUGAGCAAAGAUAGCAGAAAGGCUGAUGAUUAUCUUCAAGAACUCUUA
Rhipicephalus microplus (southern cattle tick) is the source of this 309-nucleotide long non-coding RNA. NCBI's taxonomy places the organism in Eukaryota, Metazoa, Arthropoda, Arachnida, Ixodida, Ixodidae. The record is from RefSeq and is a predicted model, not a curated record.